RNAcentral lists this ribosomal RNA (374 nucleotides) under uncultured organism. Its description in RNAcentral is "partial 16S ribosomal RNA". It matches the Rfam family "Bacterial small subunit ribosomal RNA", at positions 527 to 896 of the family's 1533-position model. The record is from RNAcentral.
GUAGGUGGCAAGCGUUGUCCGGAAUUAUUGGGCGUAAAGCGCGCGCAGGCGGUUCUUUAAGUCUGAUGUGAAAGCCCACGGCUCAACCGUGGAGGGUCAUUGGAAACUGGAGAACUUGAGUACAGAAGAGGAAAGCGGAAUUCCACGUGUAGCGGUGAAAUGCGUAGAGAUGUGGAGGAACACCAGUGGCGAAGGCGGCUUUCUGGUCUGUAACUGACGCUGAGGCGCGAAAGCGUGGGGAGCAAACAGGGAUUAGAUACCCUGGUAGUCCACGCCGUAAACGAUGAGUGCUAAGUGUUAGGGGGUUUCCCGCCCCUUAGUGCUGCAGCUAACGCAUUAAGCACUCCGCCUGGGGAGUACGGCCCGCAAGGCUG